Molecule: ribosomal RNA, 424 nt
Filed under: uncultured bacterium
Lineage: Bacteria
Description: bacterial SSU rRNA
Rfam family: Bacterial small subunit ribosomal RNA
Source: RNAcentral
GGGCCCGCACAAGCGGUGGAGCAUGUGGUUUAAUUCGAUGAUACGCGAGGAACCUUACCAGGACUUAAAUGCAUAACGAUCGGUUGAGAAAUCAACUUUUCUUCGGACGGUAUGCAAGGUGCUGCAUGGUUGUCGUCAGCUCGUGCCGUGAGGUGUCAGGUUAAGUCCUAUAACGAGCGCAACCCCUAUUCUUAGUUGCCAGCGGUUCGGCCGGGGACUCUAAGAAAACUGCCAGCGCAAGCUGUGAGGAAGGUGGGGAUGACGUCAAAUCAUCACGGCCCUUACGUCCUGGGCCACACACGUGCUACAAUGGUAGGUACAAAGGGCAGCCACUUGGCGACAAGGAGCUAAUCUCUAAAACCUAUCUCAGUUCGGAUUGGAGUCUGCAACUCGACUCUAUGAAGCUGGAAUCGCUAGUAAUCGC